RNAcentral lists this long non-coding RNA (1167 nucleotides) under Macaca fascicularis (crab-eating macaque). RNAcentral's name for it is "lncRNA (ENSMFAG00000048647.1)". The record is from RNAcentral. Lineage: Eukaryota; Metazoa; Chordata; Mammalia; Primates; Cercopithecidae.
AUGGCCAAGCCUUGUUUGGGGAGGUCAGGGUGGGCUCGGCGUGUGCGAGCCACUACCACCGCCCCUGUGUCGGGGGCCCCCCACCGGCAAGUGGGUCCCCCCACCUUUGCCUCGUGGGUCACCUUGCACAAGUGGGGGCUCUGGGGUCACAGCCUUUGGCUAGGCCACAGCCCCCUACACGGCCAAGCUACACACGUGGCCCCAGCCCCCACCCGUAGCACACUCGGCCCAGGCUCCCAGCGAUGCCGGCCCAAAAUUAAAAACAGAUUUUCCACCAGGCUGGGCUUGGGUUUCACGCAUUCCAUGACGGUGAGCUCCUGGCCGUGCCUGAAGGACAUGCAGCCAGCAGCGGCCACGUGGGAGCCAGGGUCAGGGCCAACUUUGUGUCCCUGUCCCCAACUCCUGAGGUCCGAGGUCCAGGCUGCCAGGCUGCACAUGGCACCACACCCACUGCCCCACGCCCCCCAGGGCUUCCUCCAGGCUGGCCCUCACCCUCCAGGAAUGGCCUGGAAGGAGGCCAGAGAGGCAGCCCUUGGGCUGAGGUUCAGAGCUGUUCCUGCCAUCUCCCCACAGGCCAGGCCCCUGCCCUGCACCCUGCAGCCGGGGGACCCCAGCUCUCCCGCCGCCCACGCCUGUCCUCCCCCUUGUGCAGGGAACAGACACCAAAGAACUGCAGCAAGCGUGUCUAUUUUGGUCCCCGCGCUCCGACACAUCUCCCAGCGUGACACCCAGAAAAUCCCCUGCUCUCCCCACUUGUCUGCAGGCCCCUGCACCAGCCUCCUGAGGACCGGGCUCCAGGCCUCAGACCCAGCCAGGAGCUGCCAGACUGGAGUCCCGUCUCCGGGCUUGGCUCCCUACCAGGGAGAGGCAGCCCACAGGGCACAGCCCAACCCCAGAUGCAGGGCUGCAGGGCUCAGAGCUGGGUGUACCCCAGAACUUCGGGAGUGCUCCUCCACGAUGGCCAGGAACCCAGCCAGUGUGCAUGGGCCCAAGGGGGCAGAGCGGGUAGGGGCACCGUGGCUGGCACCCUCCUCAGAGACCGAAGGCACUGGCACUCUGUGGGUGGCCCGGCCUCCUCCCACACCCUCGGCCAACAUGGGCCUGGCCCAGCCACAGUGGGUGCUGCCCCACGGGACUCAGGUCUCAGCCAGCCUCCCUAGACUGUGA